Pelobates cultripes (western spadefoot toad) is the source of this 204-nucleotide non-coding RNA. NCBI's taxonomy places the organism in Eukaryota, Metazoa, Chordata, Amphibia, Anura, Pelobatidae. The record is from the annotation of a GenBank genome assembly.
GAGGACCCGUGCUGUGUUGAACGCCGUGGGAACUAAUCCUGGCGCGACAGGUGGGUCAACUUACGGUUUGAGAGUCCCUGAGACACCAAAUGCGAUGCUGACCGGAGAGAAAAGCCACUGGAUUAACGGAAAUCCCUGCUGCAGGAUUCCUGGACACAGCUUGGAGUAGGAGACCUCAUGGAGCAAAGGUGAAACCAAAAUGGC